UGGCUAGGUAAGUCCCUUGUUAAAUCCACCGAAUUAAUCGUUGGAUCGCGGGGGAUACUGCUUGGCUAGGGGACGAGAGAGGCAGACGGUAUUUUCGGGGUAGGGGUGAGAUCCUAUAAUCCCGGGAAGACCACCAGUGGCGAAGGCUGUCUGCUAGAACGCGCCCGACGGUGAGGGAUGAAAGCUGGGGGAGCGAACCGGAUUAGAUACCCGGGUAGUCCCAGCUGUAAACGAUGCAGACUAGGUGUUUGGACGGCCACGUGCCGUUCUAGUGCCGCAGGGAAGCUGUUAAGUCUGCCGCCUGGGGAGUACGAUCGCAAGAUUGAAACUUAAAGGAAUUGGCGGGGGAGCACCACAAGGGGUGAAGCUUGCGGUUUAAUUGGAGUCAACGCCGGAAAUCUCACCGGGAGCGACAGCAGUAUGAAAGCCAGAUUGAAGGUCUUGCUAGACGAGCUGAGAGGAGGUGCAUGGCCGUCGCCAGUUCGUGCCGUGAGGUGUCCUGUUAAGUCAGGCAACGAUCGAGACCCGCGUCCUCUGUUGCUACCAGCUUUGAGCUGGGCACACUGAGGAGACCGCCACUGAUAAAGUGGAGGAAGGAGCGGGCCACGGCAGGUCCGCAUG
This 621-nucleotide ribosomal RNA is filed under the name uncultured archaeon. Its description in RNAcentral is "bacterial SSU rRNA". It matches the Rfam family "Archaeal small subunit ribosomal RNA", at positions 526 to 1153 of the family's 1478-position model. The record is from RNAcentral.